ACGGAGGAUGCAAGCGUUAUCCGGAUUCAUUGGGUUUAAAGGGUGCGUAGGCGGCUUUUUAAGUCAGUGGUGAAAUCCUGUCGCUUAACGAUAGAAUUGCCAUUGAUACUGAAGAGCUUGAGUUCAGUUGAGGUAAGCGGAAUGUGUAGUGUAGCGCUGAAAUGCUUAGAUCUUACACAGAACCCCGAUUGCGAAGGCAGCUUACUAAACUGCUUCUUACUCUGAUGCACGAAAGCGUGGGGAGCGAACCG
This 251-nucleotide ribosomal RNA is filed under the name uncultured prokaryote. RNAcentral describes it as "partial 16S rRNA". It matches the Rfam family "Bacterial small subunit ribosomal RNA", at positions 525 to 775 of the family's 1533-position model. The record is from RNAcentral.